GUCCACGCCUUAAACUAUGGAUACUAAGUGUCGGCGGGUUACCGCCGGUGCCGCAGCUAACGCAAUAAGUAUCCCGCCUGGGAAGUACGGCCGCAAGGUUGAAACUCAAAGGAAUUGACGGGGGCCCGCACAAGCGGUGGAGCAUGUGGUUUAAUUCGACGCAACGCGAAGAACCUUACCCAGGCUGGACAUGCAGGUAGUAGAAGGGUGAAAGCCUAACGAGGUAGCAAUACCAUCCUGCUCAGGUGCUGCAUGGCUGUCGU
Molecule: ribosomal RNA, 263 nt
Filed under: uncultured bacterium
Lineage: Bacteria
Description: partial 16S ribosomal RNA
Rfam family: Bacterial small subunit ribosomal RNA
Source: RNAcentral